AGUGAACGCUGGCGGUAGGCCUAACACAUGCAAGUCGAACGGCAGCACAGGAGAGCUUGCUCUCUGGGUGGCGAGUGGCGGACGGGUGAGGAAUACAUCGGAAUCUACUCUGUCGUGGGGGAUAACGUAGGGAAACUUACGCUAAUACCGCAUACGACCUACGGGUGAAAGCAGGGGACCUUCGGGCCUUGCGCGAUUGAAUGAGCCGAUGUCGGAUUAGCUAGUUGGCGGGGUAAAGGCCCACCAAGGCGACGAUCCGUAGCUGGUCUGGGAGGAGGAUCAGCCACACGGGAACUGAGACACGGUCCUGACUCCUGCGGGAGGCAGCAGUGGGGAAUAUUGGACAAUGGGCGCAAGCCUGAUCCAGCCAUACCGCGUGGGUGAAGAAGGCCUUCGGGUUGUAAAGCCCUUUUGUUGGGAAAGAAAUCCAGCUGGCUAAUACCCGGUUGGGAUGACGGUACCCAAAGAAUAAGCACCGGCUAACUUCGUGCCAGCAGCCGCCGUAA
This 506-nucleotide ribosomal RNA is filed under the name uncultured bacterium. RNAcentral describes it as "partial 16S ribosomal RNA". It matches the Rfam family "Bacterial small subunit ribosomal RNA", at positions 29 to 523 of the family's 1533-position model. The record is from RNAcentral.